Molecule: ribosomal RNA, 253 nt
Filed under: uncultured bacterium
Lineage: Bacteria
Description: partial 16S ribosomal RNA
Rfam family: Bacterial small subunit ribosomal RNA
Source: RNAcentral
UACGUAGGUGACCAGCGUUGUCCGGAUUUACUGGGCGUAAAGAGCGCGCAGGCGGUCGUUCAAGUCGAGUGUGAAAGCCCCCGGCUCAACUGGGGAGGGUCACUCGAUACUGAUCGACUUGAAGGCAGGAGAGGGAAGCGGAAUUCCCGGUGUAGAGGUGAAAUUCGUAGAUAUUCAGAGGAACACCAGUGGCGAAGGCGGCUCACUGGUCCAUUACUGACGCUGAGGUGCGAAAGCGUGGGGAGCAAACAGG